Molecule: long non-coding RNA, 25399 nt
Filed under: Cicer arietinum (chickpea)
Lineage: Eukaryota; Viridiplantae; Streptophyta; Magnoliopsida; Fabales; Fabaceae
Description: long non-coding RNA (CARI_LNC000854)
Source: RNAcentral
UGUCCUCUACCUAAUAAUAUCAAUUCACUUAAAAUUUAUUUGAGAGAUAUAAUUGAAUAAAUAAUUUUUACGUGAUAAUAGUUAUUAAAUUAUUAAAGAUGUUUAAUUUUAUUAUAACUAUCUCAUAAAUUAUGUCUAUGAAAUAUUGAAAUAUGUUAAUAGUAUAAUUUUUUUUAUACAUUAAUAAUACAUCACAAUUAAUUUUUUUAUGCAAUCAGACUAUUUUAUAAAUACAAUUAAACUCAUAAUAUACCCUAUGAAUACAUUAUCUCAUAUCAAGAGUUAAACAUAACAAUAUUCAUUACUACGUGUAAAAUCUAACUUAACUGAUAAAUAUCGAUAUUGUUAAGUUGAAUACUAUUUUCUAGGUAGAUAUUGCAACAGAAUUGAUCGGAAACAAAAUUUUAACAUCUCUAUAUCUAUCUUCACUCCUAAAUUUUAAUUUCAGAGAAAACUUUAAUAUAUGCAUCCAAUCAAAACAUGAUUUCCGUGUUCGAAUUGAGAUAGAUUCGGAUGGAUAUCUGCAUAUUUGAGUUAUGUUGUCAUUCUUAAUUUCAGAUUAAAACUUGAAACAUCAAAGUUAUAUAUGAAUUUUAAAAAAAAUAUAUUAUUCAUAUUUUCUAAUAAAUAUUAAUUAUUAUAUAAAAAAAACAUGUAGAUCCAUUUGAGUGAUCUAAUAAUAAAUGACAUAAUCAAUUUUAAAUAGAUAUGGGUAUUAUUUUAAAAUUUUAUACUAAAGAUAUCUAAUUCCAACAAAUUAAUAUAAAGAAAAAAUAUUAAAACUAAUUCCAAUGAAUCUUAUUUGUAAAGUGAAUAGUAUAACCUCUUAUAAAUAAUUGAGUUGAAUAUAUUUUUAAUCAUUAUAAAAUUUUAAUUUUUUAUUUUAAUUUUUGUAUAAAAAAAUAUAAUUUUAUUAUAAAAUUAUUUAUCAAACAAUUUUAGUUUCUUUUAAAAUAAACUAUAUUUAAUUUUCCUUUAAUUUAAAUAAUAUUUAACAAACAUAUUAAAAACAUUAUAAUAUAAUAUUUAUAAAAAAAUUAAAAUCAAAAUUAAAAUUUUGAACUAAUAUUUUUGACAAAGUUUUAAUAAUAUUAUUUUCAUUAAAAAUAUAUAUUAAUUUAAGGGUGAGACUAAAAAUUAUAAUUAAUUUAACCUCCAAACAUAGAGAAGGAGUGAGAAAUCUGUGAAAACAAAAAAUAGAGAAGGGCAUUAAAUAAGUGAAAGUGUGAAACGGUGGGCUGUUGAUAAAAGCUGAAGGAAAGGGCAAAACCGGAAAGCCAAAAAGUUGCAUGCAAAAACUCAGAGUUUAAGGGCAGAAUAAGAAGACGCUUGUGAAUGAUAUCAUACCAAUUUAUUACCAAGAUUCUUAUUUCUUCAUACUCUAUAUAACACUAUCCCACCAAAAACCUCUCUGCUUUAAUCUCCUCUGUUUCUACCCUUUUUUUCUUUCUAAAAAACCAAAACACAAUCAUCAUGUUUUCUCCAACCAUAUACUAAUAUGUAACAUUAUUAUAGUCACAUUAAUAAGAAUAAUACUAUCGUUACAAUGGCUUCAGAAUCAUAUUCAUAUUCAUCUUCAUCCAUGAAACUCUUGUUGUUUAUGGUUCCUCUCAUAAUUGUUGCUGGACUUGUAUCUGUAUUAGGUCCUAAUCCUUCUAAUUGGGUUCUUAUUCCUAAUCAACCUCUCUUAUGGAGUUCUGUUACUACAUCUUCAUCAGAAAGUGGUUCUCUUAUGGAAAAAGUUCAAGCUGUUUCAUUUGAUUUUCAUAAUAAUAACAAGGAAGUGAAAGCUAUAUCUGAUGAUGACACUUUUUUCAAUCAAUCUUCUACUCCACCACUUUCUAUUCAAACACUUCAAAAAUUGGUAAGAGAUUAGUAUUAAUUUUCUUUUUAUCCAUUACUUAAACUUUGGAUUUUCCUUUUUAUUUUAUUUUAUUAAGAAGUAGUGUAGAAGGUUCUUAAUUUGUUGGAAAUUUUUCAUAAAUUAUUUGAUGAUGGUUACAUGCUAAAGAAGGAAAGAAUGUAAAAAAGGAAAGAAUUUAAGAUGUAAUAAAGCGAUUGACGUAUCUUUUUAAUUUCUCACUUUUUCUUAAAAAAUAUAUGCGAUUCUUUUCUUUGAUAAUAUCAUGAAUGACUAGAGAUAGAAUCUUUAAGAUUUUUGUGAAAAAAUUGUGAAAUUUUAAUAUAUUAUUUUUUAUUCUUACAAAAAAGAAACUUGGUGUAUUUAGUACACAAACUGUGGUUAUCCUUUUUUAUCUAAAUUAAAUUUUAAAGCGAAAGCAUAUUUGGAAGAUUUCCCUCGUGAGAACAAUUUAAAAUUUUGCACUAGUCUUUAGGAGACAAAUUUGCUUUGUGAUAUGGAAAGAUUUGAUCUUACCCCAAUUGCUGGAUCUAGUUGGAUACCAUAAUGUAACGAUCCUAGGAAUUAAUUACGGAUUUCAGAAAUAAAUUUCUUGAUUAUUCUCCCUAGUAAAUAUAAUCACAUGUCACAUAUUUCACUCUCAUGUAUUCUAAAAUACCUCUUGUAUUUGUUUGUAGACAAUUUUUAUUUAGUAAUUUGAUAAGAGACUGAAUGAUUAUAUAUUCAAGGACGAAAUGACUACUACCAUAUAUAGCACUAUAAUUUGACCCCAUUUACCUUGGAUUUUACUAGGUUUAAAAUUCUCAUGUUACCGUCAUAAGUUGAGCUUUUGGUAUGAGCGUGACAACUCUGAAUCUUGUUUGGAUUUUUUCCUCAAAUUAUUCUACACUUUUAAAUCUCGGUAAUCGAUUUUGAGUAUUACACAUACAUUAAAUUAAUUUUAUUUGAUCUCAACCAUUGAUCUAGAUUGGCCAGUUGCAUCAAUUAUUGCGUUAUUAUGCCAAAUAAUUAUCCUUGGGAUGAUUGCUAAUAUGCUAUUAGUUAUAAGUUUUGCACUAGUCUUAGACCAUGUUCAGUUUACAUUAUUCUUAAUACAUAUUAUGUACAUUCAGCCCUGCAGAAGAAUCAAUGACUAUGAACAAUUUGGUAUUGAAAAGGUAGGUGUCGUUUUCCCUUUGAAAGAGGGAAACAGACGAGAAACUUUACAUUAACUUCUCAUGUUUUAUUAUAGAAUUGGGUUAGAUUAGAUUUCCACAAACGACGUGUUAGGUAGUUCAUAGUAGUAUAAUCAGAGUUAACAUUAAUUAAUGAAUGAGUUUUUUGAGAGUUUUAAUAGUAAAUAUUAAUGAUCCAUCAAAUUUCCUUACCAGAACAAAGAUGAAGAAAGUGACAAUGCCUCUCAAAUCUGGACCAAUACAACUUCUAUGAAUGAAUCUUACUAUAUUCCUCUAGAGAAACCAAACCUUCCAAGAAAGUUCAGCAUCUUAGACAGAACAGAAGCCGGUCUACUACAAGCUCGAGCCGCAAUACGGAAAGCAAGAAAUGGGAAUCAAACACAAGACAUAGACUAUGUUCCAAUAGGACCAAUGUAUUACAAUCCUAAUGCAUUUCACAGGUAAAUAAUGCACAAUAUUUCUUUUGAUAUCUAAAUUAUUCAUUAUUUGCUAUAAUUCACUCGCCUUACUUUGUAAAAUUUAUAUUUGCUAUCUCACAGGAGUUAUUUAGAAAUGGAGAAACAGUUUAAAGUAUUUGUCUACGAAGAAGGGGAGCCUCCAGUUUUCCACAAUGGACCUUGCAAAAGUAUAUACUCCAUGGAAGGAAAUUUCAUCCACACAAUUGAGAUGAAUGACCAAUUCCGAACAAGAGACCCCGAUAAGGCGCACGUAUUUUUCCUUCCUUUUAGUGUAGCAAUGAUGGUCCAAUUUGUCUAUGUUCGUGACUCUCAUGAUUUUAGCCCCAUAAAGAAAACCGUCGCCGAUUAUAUCAAUGUCAUUUCCGAAAGAUACCCCUUUUGGAACCGAAGUCUCGGAGCUGAUCAUUUCAUGCUUUCUUGCCAUGAUUGGGUAAGUAUAUCACUAUAUCAAUUUAAAUUCUAAGUCCGCACAUUCUCAAUUUGAUCAUGGAUAAUUACUUGCUAACAAAAUUAUAUAUUGCGGUCGUGGUUCUCAAUAUUGAAAAUAUUGUUCAUACCACUUUAAUCACAGGCAUAUUACAAUAUAGACAACAAAAUUUUCGAUAGUGACAGUGUAAUUGAGAUUGUAGUCACAUAUCACAAUCUUUUUUUUUAAAAAAAAUACACAAGCCCGUAAGUAAUGUACUAAUGUUUAAAUUAUUAUGUUGCUUCGAUUUCAGGGGCCCGAGGUAUCAAAUUCAGUUCCAAACUUGUACAAGAAUUCGAUUCGUGCACUAUGCAAUGCCAACACCUCCGAGGGAUUCAAACCAGCAAAGGAUGUAUCUUUUCCAGAAAUCAAUCUUCAAACCGGUACAAUACAUGGUUUUGUAGGCGGGCCAUCUCCAUCCAAGCGAUCAGUUUUAGCUUUCUUUGCCGGCGGGCUUCACGGGCCCAUUAGGCCCAUUCUACUUGAUCAUUGGGAAAACAAAGAUGAAGACAUUCAAGUUCACAAGUACCUUCCAAAGGGUGUGUCUUACUAUGACAUGUUAAGAAAAAGCAAGUUUUGUCUUUGUCCUAGUGGAUACGAGGUAGCAAGUCCAAGAGUGGUGGAAGCAAUCUACACAGGUUGUGUUCCAGUGCUGAUUUCAGAUCAUUAUGUUCCUCCAUUCAGUGAUGUUUUGAAUUGGAAAUCGUUUUCUGUUGAGGUUUCAGUUGAUGAUAUACCUAACUUGAAGAAAAUUCUGUUGAGUAUUUCACCCAGACAGUAUAUAAGAAUGCAGAGAAGAGUAGGACAAGUUAGGAGACAUUUUGAGGUACAUUCUCCACCUAAGAGAUUUGACGUGUUUCAUAUGAUCCUUCAUUCUAUUUGGCUUAGAAGAUUAAACUUCAGAGUCCAUGAUGACCAAUAACAUAUAUAAGAUUAUUAAUUACGGUUGGGGAAUUAGUUUCUGGUAGGGUUUUUUUUUUGGGUUGGGGAAUUAAUUUCUGGUAGGGUUUUUUUUUGGGUAAGUUUUUGAAUAGUUUUUUAUUUGGUAAUGUAAGAUGAUUGUGUGAAUGUAAUUUUCUUUUUCGUUUCAUGUGAUGUAUAAAAUUAUUAAGUAAUAAAAGUGAUAUUUUAAUUUCUCAUAUUGGAUGCCUGUGCUAUAUCUAGUAGAGUAGUAGUAUUAUGUUUUUUGGUGAAUUGUCUCUAGUAGUAUCAUUGUAUUUCCUAAUACUGCAAAUAUUAGACUGAAAAUAUUUGCACAUUUUUUUUUUUACAGAUAUUUGCACAUCUAAUCUAAUUUUUUACAUAUGAUAUGAUAUUGGCAUAUCUUACAUAAUCUUGAUUGUCAAAAAAAAUCCUAGUACUUUCUUUUAAAAUAUUGGAAUAUCAAUAAAAAGGAUGAACAUUAGCUAGUAAAUAGUAAGGAGGUUCUCUUUGCUAGAGCAUGAGUUGACAGAUUGAAGUGUCUCCUAUCAAACUUAAUGUGAGAGUCAUAAAAAUGAGGAAACUCAUAGACAUCUUUUCAAUUGUAAAAAUUGUCAACAAUCCGUUUAGAACUCCCGCGCAAUGGACUGCUUGAUUUUCAUAGAGAUAAAGUUUGAAUCAAAUAAUUCAUUGGUGAUGUUUUGUAUUUCGGGAAGCAAUUUGAAUCCAAUUAUCGUCUUUGGUGGAAUAUCUACUAUCAUUCUAUCAAUCACAUUGUUUCUUUUUCUAUUUUUAAGAAUUAAAUUUGAAAUCUUAUUUAACAAACCUAACUUUAACUAUACUCAGUCAAUAUAUUUUUUUUUUUAACAAAAGUUUAGAUCAAUUUAAUGUUAGUUUGCGCUUUUAAUUUAAAUCAUAUAAAAUGAUAUCAAUAGUUUCUUUAAAAAAAAAUAUAGUUUACUACUCUUGUUUUUUGUAUUCAACAUCAUAGUUUUAAAUUUCAUUGUAAUAUAAAGAAUUUUGUGAACUCCAUAGCUGAUAUUAUAAUUACAAUUUCGUAUCUGAUAUUUUUUCAUAUUUUACAACAAUAUAAAUAAUACAACAUAAAUCCCUAUUGUUUUAAUAAUUUAAAAUCAUACUUUAACACAUAGGAUUCACUCAUUUCUCUUUUUUCAAACACAUUACAUCACUAGUUUAGAAGAUAGAUGUCAUCACCAAGGAGUUUCUUAGGCUACGUGCAACACUUACACACAUACAUGUCAACACAAUAUUCUCAAACACGGACACCCUUUUUCUCCACGUGUCACUCUGUUACUAUCUUUCCUCCACGUGUCACUCUCCCUUAAAAUAUGUUCCCUCAAAGUUUUGCUUCCUACACACACCACAUUCAAACACCGACUUUGCUUCCUUCACAUAAUAUAUACCCAUCACCACAAUCCAUAUACACAUGAAAUUCAAAGCAUUAUUAUAACUCACUGCAUUCUUCUUUUCUUUUUACAUAAAAAAGUUGGAUCAAAAUCUACAAAAAUUGAAUGGCGUCGAGGAAAGAUUUCAAGGAAGACAGAGCCGAAGCAGCUGCAAAACUAGCUGCAAAAGACAUCGGCGACGUAAACAGAGCAAACGAACGAGAAGAAGGAUACAAUCUUAAUUCCGAAAUACAGUUCAAACAAGCACGUGCUGAAGCAGCUUCAAAACUCGCUGCUAAAGAUCUGGAAGACGUUAACAGAGCAAAAGAAAGAACAUUGAAUGCUUCUUCUGAAACAGGGUAUUAUCAAGAAGAGAAACCCGGCGUUAUUGGAUCAAUGCUGAAAGCGGUGAACAACACUUUCGGACACGCGAAAGAUGCUGUUGUUGGUAAGAGUAACGAAGCUGGUGAAAAAGUAAAGGAAACUUCUGAUUAUGCUUAUCAGAAAGCGAAGGAAACAAAAGACAGCACUGCGAACAAAACAGGGGAAUAUGCUGAUUGUGCUGCGGAGAAAGCGAAGGAGACGAAAGAUGCGACGGUGAAUAAAGCUGGAGAGUAUAAGGAUUAUGCUGCAGAGAAGGCGAAGGAAGCGAAAGACGUGACGGUGGAGAAAGCGAAAGAGGUGAAAGAUGCGACAGUGAAUAAGGCGGGAGAGUAUAAAGAUUAUACGGCUGAGAAGGCUAAAGAAGGGAAGGAUGGUACUGUGGGGAAACUUGGUGAGUUGAAGGAUUCGGCUGCUGAUGCUGCUAAGAGAGCUAUGGGUUUCUUUUCUGCGAAGAAAGAGGAAACUAAGGUUAAUUUGCUUCUAACUUUCAUUGCUUUUUUGAAAUUGUGAGUUUAUUGAGAAUGUGUGAUUAAUUGUGUGGCUUGCAGGAAAUGGUGAGUGGAACAGAGGAAGAAUAUGCAAGGAGAAGAAUGGAUGAUUUAAGUGUGGAAGGAGGGAGGCGGGGUAGAGAGAAAUUGGUAGUGAAGGUGGAUGAGAGUCGUCCUGGAGUGGUGUCUGAUGGGCUCAGAGCAGCUGCCGGAGUAGAUCACAGUGGAGGACAUUUGGAGGAAGAAGGCACCAUACAUGUUGAGCGUCGUCGUGAGAAAAUGUGAUCAUCAUCAUCAUAUGCAAUCUUCUUGUUGCCAUGUCAGUACUAUAUAUAUGAUCACUACUUUUCUGUAAUCAUAAUGUGUUUUUUGUAAUAAUAAUAAUAUUUUGUUACUAUUUUUUUUUUUUUGCUUUUUUUUAAUCUUAAUUAAUCGAAUCCUUUUGUCUUUUUAGGGAGUGGAAUUAGUAGUUUUUUUUCAUUUUCAAGUGCAAGGUUAUGAAUGGGUGGAGGCAUGAUAAACCCAGGCCUGGAAAUAGCACAUAAUAAUCGAGUUGGGCUCUUUUUUAUUUCCACGGGCUAUUUUUCAUUGUUUGGAACUUGGGCUUAUAAAUGCAUGUCACUGAUUCUUAAUAGAAUAAACCCAACGCUUAUGAAUGCAUGUGGCUGAUUCUAAAGAGAAUAAACCCAGAUAAACUAUAACGAUGACUUUUUAAAAUACACCCUUUGAUUAGUCAAUUUAAGGUGUCUUUUGAAAAGAAAAUAAAUGUAUUUUAUAAAUGUUUGAAAUUAUGGACUUUAGGAAAAGAACGAAUUUAUUACUUAAAGAAUAUUUUUAAAGAGUUUAUUACUUAAAGAAUAUUUCUAAGUCGCUUUUAAUGCAUGGAAAAAAUAGUCAUGGGAUAGUUGCUUUAGGGUUAGUAAGUAAUCAUGAUGUUUGUUAAGUAAAGAUUGAUUUGAGGAUAAUCUCCAUCCCAUAAAAACAUCUAUUUCAUUCUCAUUUGUUCACUUUUACAAACAUAUAAUGAGACAUUAUAGACAUAAAGUAACGUGCCAAGCAUGAGAGAAGUUCAGCUUUCUCUUCUCCUUUCUUCGGGUCUUUGAGUUCUGUGUAUGUGUGUCAUGCGCUAAGAGUGAUAAUUUUAAAUAUCAUCCAAAAUUUAAUAAUUUUAAAUAUUUCUUUACUUUAUAUUAUAUAAAUUGUAAAAUGAUCUCUAUAGUUUUUGCGAGUUUAAAUGAUUUUAUAUUUUUUAAAAUUUUUAUAUUAGUUUCUAAAAAUUGCAAAAUAGUCUGUUUUUAACUUUUACAAAUUUUUAAUUUUGGUCCAAUUAUAAGAUUUAUUUUUUGUCUAAAAAUUUUAGAAAUUUAUAAAAAUAGUCUAAAUUUUUAAGAACAAUUCUUUUUUUCAAAAAAAAGUUAAAAAUAAAAGAAAUUUAACUGAAACAUUUAGAUUGUCUGUAAUUUUAAUUUUAUUUAAAUAAUAAUUUAAAUAAUAUUUACAAUGAAGAAACUUUAUAAGGUAUUUUGUCAUACAUAAAUUUAGAAAAAUUUAAAUACUUUUUAAAAUUAAUAAUUUCAAAUAUUUUUUUCUUCAUAAAAUAUGAAUUAUGAAAUUAUCUUUGUAAUUUUUUCAAAUUUCCAAAUUUGAUAUUAUGUGCUUUAAAAUUUGUACAUUAAUCCCUAUAUUUUUUACAAAUUAAUAUUAAAAAUUUAACAAAAAUAGUUUCUCUAAUUAUGAAAGAAUUUUGAAAACAAAUACUAUUUUAACAAGUUAAUUAUUGAUAUUUUUCUAUGUAAAAGAAAAUUGAAAUUCACCUUGAGUUAACUUCUCAAAUUAUCACUGUCAUCUCAUUGUCAUCUCAUAGUGAUUGACUUUAGGAGUAUUUAGUGACUAUUAGCAUGUGUAAUUUUAUACUCUAUCACUUUACUAAAUGACACAUCAAUUUUAUAAAAUUAUACAUUAUUUUACAAAAUUAUAUUUUAUUAAUAGUAUAUAAAUAAAAUGGAAACUAGAGUUUACAUAAAUUAGAAAAAGAGAUUAAUAAAUAAUAAUGGUUGUAAUAAAAAUAUAAUAUUAACUAUUUAAUUGGCAUAUGAUAUAUAAAAUCAGACAACAACAAAAUUAGACAAUUUUUGUGUGUUAAAAUUGUUUAUAGAAAAAUGUUAAUAAAUAUUUUUAAGGGUAUUUACUAAGAAAAAAAAAAAGACAAUUUAAAAUGUAUAAAAAUUUAACUCUUUUAAAAUUUAAAAUAUAUUAUUUUCAAUAUAAAAUAUUUUUAGUUCUUAACAAAUACUUUUAAGAUAUUUGUUAGUAAGUAAGUUGUGGGACACAAAUAAUAUUAUUAUUAGAAGAUACUAAUAAGUGGUUAACAUUGUAACAUGCUGCCAACAAUUAGUAUUUUUGUCUAAUUGGUAAAUGGAAAGCCUUUCUCAAAUGAUUAUUAUUUAUCUUCAAUUAACUAAUAUAAUAUAGUCACUUAGUUGUCAUCGAGGUAGUUUUCGAUUUUUUAUAAUACUUUUGCGGAUUAGCGUUUGAUUAACUUUUGUAAUAAAUUUAGUAAGUUAGAUUUUCGGUGGUCCCAUAUAUUUUAGAGAUUUUAAAAAAUUAGAUUUUUAAAUAUAUUUUUUUACAAGAAUAAUAUUUUAUUUAAAUUGUAAACAAUAUAUUUUUUUUAAACUAAUCUAAAAAAAAAACAAAAAUUCAAAUUAUUUAAUUUAAAUUGUAUCUAAAUAAUAUUAAAAAAAAUCAAAAAACUUAAAUCAUUUCAGAUACACUGAUUCAAAUAUUUUUGACCUCUAAUAGUCUUAAAAAAUUAAAAGAAAUAAAAUGCGUCCUAUUGAUGAUGUUGCACGGGCCAUGGCAUAUUCUGGUUAGAUAAUAGUAAUAUUUUUUAUGUUGUAAAAAAAAAAAAUAGUAUUUCUUUUCUGUGAUUGUGAUUAAUAUGCAAGCAAAGAUGAACGGAACCAGAAACAUGUUUGCAAUCGGUAGUUGUCAUCCGCAUUUUAGAUGUGAGUGUGUGAUAGUGCCUCUUGUGCUCACCUGUACCAUAAGGAUUGGCGAUGCCUGGAGGAAGACAAUUUGAAUUAGGACUCACUCAGCCAUGUUAUGUUUUGUUUUUUGUUUCUCUUUUUUGUUUUUCUUUUUUCUGUUUGAACUAUCGACCCCAGCUAUGAAUUUGACGACCAAGAUUAGUUUCCAUUUUGUGGUGUCCUGCUCUCACGUGAAAUCAACAGAAUGUCCAACCAUGCAUUGUCCAGGGACAAAACUUCGCAUCAAUUAUUUGUCUUGCUUAACUGGCAAAUCAGAGUGUAUCAAAAACAUUUAUUCCAUUUAUUAUAUGUCUCACAAUAUAAACAAAAAUAGAUUAAAUCAAUUAGAUACAUAAUUUAAAUUUUAAAUUAUAUAUUUAUUUUAAUCUAUUUUUAUUUAUAUUAUAAAAGAAAAUAGUAUUUUUUUUAAAGUAUCUAAAACAACUUAACAUACAGUAAAUUAUUUUAGUGACUACUCACAAUGAUUAUGUGGUUAAUAAGACAGAGAAAUUUAAACAUUCGAUAAAAAAUAUUAAUAAAAUUUUUUAGGAUAAAAAUAUUUAAUAAUGACUUAAAACACAAAAUUUUAUCUUAAAAUUUAUGUAUUCAACUCUUUAAAAUUAAAAAUUAUAUUUUGUAUCUUAAUAAUCUUAAAGAAUUUAUUAGCAUAAACACAUUUAAUUUAAAUAAGUGUUUAUUUAAGAUAUUCUCUGUAGAAGACAAUAUCUAUUUCCCUUAAAUUUUGAGGAACAAAAGAAGAAUGACUAUGAAAAAAGAAAAUAUACAACUUCAAAUAUAUCUAACUAUUUUUAGUAGAAAAAAAAUCACCAAAUACCUACCUGUUGAUGAAGGUUGACUACAUAGUAAGACUAUUACACUUGAGACUACAGGCACCCCUUUAUGAUUUUUUUUUGUGCAAAUACUCCAAUCCAUAAUAAAUUUUUUUGUUUUAUAAUUGUAAUAUUUUAAAAGAUGUGUCAAUUUUUGUUAACAAUUGUUUGUUAAAUAUUAAAUUAAAAUACAAUUUUUUAAACAACAAAUUUAGAUAAAAUAUUAUAUAUAAUUUUGUCAUUCACAUUAAUAUUGACGUAUCUUAUUUACAAGGAAGAUAGUUUUAGACAAAUAUUAAAAUUUAUAAAUAUAAUAUAUAUGAUAAUAAUUUUGAAUUCAGUAAUUAAUUUAAAAAUAAUUAUUUAAUAUGAUAUUAUUAAAUAAAUAUAACUAUUAACGUAAUUCAAAUAAAACAUACAAUUUAAUAAUAUUAGAUUUGUUAAUGAAGUGAGACGACCUAAAUAUUUUAUUAUUGUUGAAUGUUUUCUUGUUUGUAUAUAUUUAGUAGUACGAAUACGACAUACUUAAAAAAAAAAAAAACUCGAAUACGACUACGUAUUUAUUAUUAUUAAAUGUUAUAGAAAUAAUAAAAUUAGAAAAUAAUUUGUAGGUGGUGGUGGCACCCUGUGAUUUAAUAUUAUGAGUAUGAGUAGUAAGUAAGGACACAUGCCAUAACGUUACUCCUUCUGAGUCUGAGUGUUGUUCGAGAAAUGAAUUCACAAUUGUCCGCCAUGUCCUUUUCCACCAAAGCUUUCAUCCUCUACCUCAUAUCCGCUUUCUCCAUUGCCCUUCUCUCCGCACUUUUCCUCAAUUACAAACCUUCUUCCCUCAAUAAUUAUUCCCUUCCACUCCGUUACGGAUCCAUAACCGAUAAACUUUGGCCCGUACGUCACUUACACAUCAUUUUCCCUUCUCCAAUAUUCAGCUACUUCUUUUCUCAAAUAAACCGUUUCUUCCGUUUAAACAUUCACAUUUUCUUUGUUUUAUUGUGUAGGAAUUGAAGGUUAGUUGGAGACUUGGUUUGGCCACACUUAUUGGUUUUUUAGGAUCCGCUUUUGGAACCGUUGGUGGUGUUGGUGGUGGUGGCAUUUUCGUUCCUAUGCUUACUCUUAUUAUUGGUUUUGAUACUAAAUCUGCUGCUGCUCUUUCCAAAUGUAAUUAAUUCAAUUCAAUCAUUUCAUAUAUAUACUUUUAAAAUGUUUUCUUACAAGCAGGGGACGUUGUUUUGAUGAUGUUGAGUUUAUUUUAUUUUAGGUAUGAUAAUGGGAGCAUCAACAUCUUCUGUAUUUUAUAACCUAAGAGUGCGUCAUCCAACAAAAGAAGUUCCAAUAUUGGAUUAUGAUUUAGCUCUUCUUUUUCAACCUAUGCUCAUGCUUGGUAUUACUGUUGGUGUUGCUCUUAGUGUUGUUUUCCCUUACUGGCUCAUCACUGUUCUCAUCAUUAUUCUCUUCAUAGGUUACUUUUCUACUUACUUUUAUCCAUUCUUCCUUUCAUUUUAAUCACUUCUUAGUUGAAAUUCAAAAUGGAAAUUCUAUAAUUUUGGACAGGAACUUCAUCAAGGUCUUUCUUUAAGGGAACUGAGAUGUGGAAAGAAGAGACUCUUCUCAAAGUAAGACUUAAUUUCACAAUUUCAUAAUGUAAUAAAUAAUUGAACAUUCAAUUAUCAAUAUAAGUCAUUAAAUGAUACUCAAUAGCUUUGUAUCUCUAUGGUUUUUUAAUUACAGAAAGAAAUGGCCAUGGCACAAGCAACUUUUGUUAAUUCUCGCGGGGAACGUAAGAAAAUCUUAUAUAUCUAUUUCAACUUUAUCUGAGAUUCAUUAGCUGUAUUACUACUUUUUUCAAAUUAAUCAAUAAUGAAAAUUGUACUAAAUUACAAAUCUGGAUCCAUAUGGAGUAAUGAUAAUUAACUUAAUCUCCUGAAUUAUGCAGUUCUAAUCGACACAGAAUAUGAUCCAUUAGUACCUAGAGAAGAGAAGUCACCUAUGGUAUUUAAACUUCACAAACUUAUAAAAUUUUGAUUUACUUGUUUGUAGGUAGGUUUGUAGAAAAUUGACUAUUUGUUUUUUUUUUUUUUUUGUGUUUCUUAAAACAGCAAAUAUUUUGUUCCAACCUUAAGUGGAAAAGAAUUUUGGUGUUAAUGGUUGUUUGGGUUUCUUUCCUACUACUUCAAGUCAUUAAGGUAGGUUCCUAUUUAUUUCCUGUUCACAUCACAAAUCUGUUUAAUUUUUAUUUAUUUUUUUAAAUCUAUUUGAUUUUGGUUUUGUUUGCAGAAUGAUGUAAAAGUCUGCAGUGUAUGGUAUUGGGUCCUUUUCUCCUUACAGGUAUGAUAAUAAAAUAACAGCAAUUGCAUAACCACUAGCACAACUUGUUACCUAUGCUGGAAUUAAGUUAAUUUCGACUAAUGUGGCCUCAAUCAUUGCAACGUUGCGGUCAUAGAAGCAUUGAAAACUAUGAUGUUGCAAUCUAAAUUGUGGUCGUGGAUUUUUUUUUAAACCAGCUUAUCAUCGUCUAUGAAACAUGGACACUAGAUACGAAAUUGACACAUAAACACUUAAUAGUUAUUUUAAGAAUAAAAGUAAUUGAGUGCGACCAUAUUUGUCAGUGUGAGUCACUAACACAUACCAGAGACGCAUUCAAUUCAAGUUGUUGGUGUAACAUAGAUCAUCAUGAACCUUUCUCUUUCUGUUUCAGUUUCCUAUUGCACUAGUGGUGUUUGGCUAUGAAGCAAUGAAGUUGUACAAGGAUCACAAAAAGAGGAUGAGUACAGGAAAUCCAGAAUCUAUCUGUGAAGCUUCAAUUGAAUGGACUGCAUUGCACAUUAUCUUUUGUGCACUUUGUGGAAUCUUAGGUGGGACCGUUGGAGGGUUACUUGGUUCUGGAGGUGGAUUCAUUUUGGGCCCUCUUCUCAUUGAGAUUGGUGUCAUCCCUCAGGUACAGUACAUAUAUUGAUAGUGUGGAUGACACAAGUUUGAUUUAAAACUAUAAUAAAUUUAAGCAAUUUAAUUUCUAAGGAUUUAUUAAAUUUAACUUGCAGGUUGCUAGUGCAACAGCAACAUUUGUAAUGAUGUUUUCGUCAUCAUUGUCUGUGGUUGAAUUCUAUCUACUCAAGAGAUUCCCUAUUCCCUACGGUAGCUUUCAUCAACUAUUCAAGCUUAAUUCUCUUUUAAUUUAUCCAAUGUUUUUAAAUAGCGGCUAUAGUGACACUAUAAUGUAGUGGAGUUUGAUCAAAUUGUUAUGGUUCAAUGAUACGCUAUUUAAUAUAAAGUAUUGUAAAAUAUCAGUUUUUGCAGCACUAUAACAUUGUUGUAUAGCAAACAAACUGUUAUUUUUCACACAUGUCUUUUAAUUUUCACCAUGUGUCUUGUAUGUGUGAAAAUGAGAGGACUAUAGAAAUAGGUGCAAGAUUACCUCAUAUCAUGGUCUAUAGUAUAUUUCAUAUUUUCAUAUAUACCAUUUUCUUUUGUCAUAAUCAUGUUGUUGUGUUUGUAUUUCUUUUGCAGCAAUAUACCUUUUCACAGUGUCUGUUUUGGCUGGCUUUGUGGGACAAUUAUUUGUAAGAAAAUUGCUUAGAAUUCUUGGAAGAGCCUCAAUCAUUGUAUUCAUCCUCUCAGGGGUCAUUUUUGCUAGUGCUCUCACCAUGGGUAAGCCAAAUCAAAUUUAAUUACUCAACGCACACAUGCACAUUUGAUUUUGCACUUAAGUUCUAAUAUAACUAGUAAAAUACCGUGCAUGCCGUGUUAGCAAAUGUAACACUUUUUCUUUCAGGUAUUAUUGGCAUUGAGAAGAGCAUUCAUAUGAUCCAGAACCACGAGUUUAUGGGAUUUUUAGGCUUUUGUAGCAGUCAAUGAUUUAUAAGAUGUAGUGCACAAUGUGAAAAUAGCUUGUAUAAAUUUCAAGGUAGGACAAAAGCAGCUUGAUGAAUGUUGGUCAAUAUCUAGUUGACCGUCAAGAAGAUUCAUUUUCUUCAAGUAAUAAUAAAUAAGGCAAAGUUGUCCAAUCAUCUUUGAAGCAGCACCAUUUGUAGUUGAGUGUUAACUACUGGUUAACACUUUUCUUCUCAUAACAGUGCAGCAUUUGUGUGAUAAUUUUUUUUUUGAAAAAAAAAAAGAUUGUGUUGUGUAGUCAUUUAAUGAGUCUGUAAAAGAAGCUUGUGAAUUAAGGGUGUAGGACAAGAAGCUUGUGUAUUUAUUCAAAUCAAUGUUUAUAUGUGGUCAAUUUCUUGUUGGCCAUGUUGAAGGUCCUUUUCUUUCUUUAUUCAAUAAAUAAGGUGUAAUUGUCUUCCUUUGUAAGAAUUUGAGGUUUGAUUGUUAGCUACUUGCUAACACUCUUCUUCUCAUUACAGUGUAUCCUUUGUUUGUGUGUGGUAUUCAUUCACUUGGCAGAAUAUUUGAAAUUAUAUAUUGGGCCUACAUUGGUGAGGACAUAUAAAAGUUGCAAGAUAUUUUUUCUGCCAAAAUCAUCCCCUUGUGAGUCAAUAUUUAAUUUAUUAUUAAUUGAGUUAUUUGAAUAUCAAGGCAAGAGACACCGUAUUUGACAUAUGUAAAAUACACAAGGCAAAGGUAAAAGACACCAUACUUGAUAACAAAACUUUUAGGUCUAAGAAUUAUUUCUUAUUUGUCACUACCACAUAUAUAGCUUUCAAUGCAUCUAUUCACAUACAAAUUAAUGGUUAUAUUAUACCAGAAAAUUUAUCUAUUACAAAAAAGUCUUCAUCUAAUCACAAGUGAUGAAGCUUGCACACAAUUACAAUUUUUACCAUUUAAAACAUAUUUUCUUCCAUCUUAAAUAUAAAAAAAAUGUAAAUGAUGAAUUUUUGUGGUAGCGAUUAGUUAAGUUGAAUUUGGCUAUCAAAAUUCAAAAAGAAAUUCCCGAGUAUAAUACAAUCUUUUUUUUGCUAAGCAUGGUUAUGUUUGGAUUAUAAGAAUAAAUUAAAAAAAAAAAAAAAUAGUCAAUCACAUUUGUUAAGGUAUCAUGCUCUAACUAUGCGGUUGGAAUUUUCUUUUGUUAAAACCUUCACCGCAAAAGAAAUCAUAUGGCUGAUGACAAACAUAAUUCACUAUUAUUUCUUGAGAGCCAACAAAUUUGACACGGCAAUGGCGACGGUACUCUUUCUUUCUCCUGCUUAUAUUAUUUUUAAUUAUUUGUAUUUUUAUAAAUUAGAUUAGAGGGAUAUCUAUUUGUCAGAAAGAUAAGCUCGAUCUAAGCUUAAACAAAUCCCUAAUAAUUGAGGAUGUCAUACUAUUUAUUAACGAAGUAAUCAAUCAUGGAAAAACAAUUUUAGAUUAAACCACUUUUAUAAAUCGAAUAUAAAAUUUUAUCAUCCGUUUCAAGUACAACGAUGAAGAAUAGUAAUUAAUUGUUUAAUUGUAGCAAAUACGUAUAUAUAGUAUUAUAAUGGAUGUUCUCUGAAUUGGAUCAUCUUUAACAUGCAUAUGUUGCCAAAGUACCACAAUAUGUGGCCCAAUGGGUGGCCUAAAAGUGUGUUUUGUUCUCAAGAUUCUGAUCCAUAUAUAGCAUUAUAAUGCCAACUAUUUGGGUUGGCCAAUUACGUAACUUCAAAUGUAGUAUGGAACAUUUUAUAUCAAUAAGUUCAACUCAAUCAUCAAUCAUUUCGUUUUAUAUUACUAGGUUUUCUAAUAUAUAUAAACUUAUAUUAUCUCAUCGGUCCAAAAAAAAAAAAAGUUCCAUGAUCUCAGUGACUUUUCAUAGAAAGAAAGGACGACAGAUGAUAGAAGAAUCCAAUGAACUUCAAACUAUAAAAAUUAGCAUAUAAUAAAAAAAUUGUAAUUUUAAUAAUUAAAAAAUGAUAAAAUAAAUUUUAGUUCCGUAAAGUUUUAUUCUUAAUUUCUAUACAAAAAAUUUCAAAUUUCUAAUCAUAAAAUUUUUCCGUCACUUUUAGUCUUUAUUUUCAAAAAGUAUUGUAAAAAGUUAAUAGUUUUAGUCCUUCAAAAACUUCUAUAAAAUCAAAAUAGAAACUAAAAUUAAAUAAUUUUUUUUAGUGGUAUUUUUAGAGAUCGUACUGUCGCAUCUCUUGGGUGCUUCGUUAUGCCUAUGAAAACUCACAAUGCUAUGUUUGUGGAACUUAUUGGUGCAAUAUUGACGAUUGAGAUAUCUUUUGAGAAAUGGUGGCAUGUAAAGUCUUUGGUCAGAAUGUGACUCAAAUUUAGUUGUUGCUGCUUUCAGUAACUCUCAGAUUGUCCCUUGAAGACUUCAAAAUAUAUGAAACAAUUGUAUUUAUAUUACCAUUUAACUGAGAUUUCAAUGCUCACAUAUUUACAGGGAGGGAAACUUGUGCGUUGACUUGUUGGCUAAUUUUGGUAUUUCCAGACAGAGUUUUGUCUGAUGGAAUGUUGUUCCUUCUUUUAUACGAGGAGUUUUUUAGGAAUAGGAAUCAUCCUUUUAGUUUUAGAUUCUCUUAAUAUACUUGGGUAUGGUGGUUGUCAUGUGCUUAUUUGUGUAUAUUUUAUUUAUUUAUUAUUUUCUACUAAUAAUAUUUUGUGUUGCUGAAGAUUGUGAGAGUUGGCGAUGUCAACUUAGUUACAAUUGUUGGGGAUAAUAAUGUGCUCUGCACCAUUUAUUUGGAAGAAAAAAAAAUUUGUCUUUCUAUUUUACAUUUGCAUAAAAUUGAAAACAAUAUUAUUUUUUACUCAUAAGACAAUGUUGAAAUGUGAUUGUUUAAAUUUUGGAAAAUGUUUUUAAAAACAAACAUUUGAUAACGUUUUAUAAUCUAUAUUCAAAACCUACUCUUUUUAAUAUAUGUUCGAAAUGGUUGUAUUUCGUGAAAGAGUGGAAUGAAAUGAAAGAUGUUAGUUUCAAGGUUGAGCCUUAAAUUUCUGUUGAUAUCAAUGUAUUCUUGCGGUCUUAGAUCAAUAUUAGGUCUGAGAUCUAUCAAGAUUAUGAUAGAAACCCUUAAAUAUUACUUUAUAAAUGCUGCUUUCAUUUAACAAGAGUGUCAUGUCAUCGGAUGAAUCAUAUUGAGUUAAAACACACAACUACAACAAGGUUUUUUUUGCGAGACCUGACUGCCGUUAGGAAAAACAAAACAAUAAGAAAUUACAGGUUUGCUUAGGGUCCGUUCAAAGUUAUUUUUGGUUUUCUGUUCUAAAUUUUUAAAAACUAAAACCAAUUAUCAAUUUUAGUUAUGAAUUUGAAUUCUUAGUUAAAAAAUAAAAAUUAAUUUUAAUUAUUUUAAAAUAAUUAAAAAUAUUGUAAAAUUAUAAUAUAUUUAAUUAUAAUAAUUUUAGUAGCAGUGGUUAAGAGUAAUAGUUGUGGAAGACGACUAUCACAAUAGUUAUUGAUUGUCGAAAGCGGCUACAACGAUCAAAAGAGACGGAUGAUAGUUGGAGGUGGUGUUUGGAGCGUAACCGGUGAUAAUUAUAUUGGUGGAUGGUGGUCAUUGGAGAUGGGUGAUUGAUAGUGAGGGUGGCAUGUGUCAGAAAUGGUCGUAAUGUUGGUUAGAGGUAGGUAUUCGAUGAAUAUGGUGGGUUUCAGAUAUGGCGGAGGUCGAUGUGAUGGCGGUAGCAGUUGUCAAAUGUGGGUGGUCGGCAAUACUAACUAUGGUUGGAGGUGGGUGAGUGGUGAUGAUAUAAGUGAUUGAAUAUGAUGGUCGGUUGUAAGGGCGAUGGUCAGAGGUGAGUGAUCGAUGAUAGAAGAUGGUUGUUGGAGGAAUGUGAGAGAUGGAUGUUGAUGGUCAUAAGUGAGUGGUUAGUGAUGAUGGUGGUGGUGACAAUUGCUAGAGGUGGGUGGCUGAUGGUGAUCUGAGGUGAAUGGUCAAUGAUAAUGGAUGUGAUUAGUGGCGGAUGAUCAUUGAUGGUGGCAAUGAUUGGAGAUUGGAUAUAGGUGUAGAAGAUAAUGGUUGUUACGGUGAUGUUUAUGUAUAAUGAUUGUGACAUGUUAAUUUAAAAACAAAAAUUGUAAAAAUUAAUUAUUCAGUUUAAAAUUUUUAGAAAAGCUGUUUUAAAAUUAAGUAUAAAAUCACUUCAACCCUAUUUUACGAUAUUUUCUUAGUGAUAUUAUCAUUGUUUAAGUGUGUGUGAAGGUUAGAGACAUAAUACGUAAGAUAUAUUUUGAAUAUCAAUAUUUUUCUCAAGAAAAAAAUAAGAGAAAUUUAUUAUUCGAAGAAAAAAAUUAAUGUUUCAAAGAUUUUAAAGUUUCAAAAAAUAUACAUUUUGAAGUUUUUUUAAAUCAGAAAUGUUUGAAAAUAUUUAACAAAUUAAAUGAAUUCUAUUUCAAAAUUUUAAAAUUAUAUAAAACUUUCAAAGAUUUUAAAAAUCUAAACUGAGUUUGUUUUUCAAAUAUUGAAUAAUCAAUUAAAUUUUGAAAAUUUUCUAUAAGCGACGAGUUGAAUGUAAAUGUUGAAAUUAAGUAGCAUAUUUUCAAUUAAAAAAAAAAAGUAUAUAUUUUUAUGUGUAUUAAGAGGUGAGAGGUAUAGGUAGAGUGGGUAAUAGAUUUUCCAAAAAAUCAAUUAAACCACAUCCUUAUAGACUGGGCUAUUUCAGAUAGGCCCAAUAUGAAAACGGACCGAACAAUGGUCCUUAUGUGGUUUUUACAAUAAGGAAAGGAUAUUUGUGGCAUUUUCGAGGUAUAGAUAUAAAUUCGCGGAACAAUCAACUUUCAGAUUUUAGGGUUUACAUCGCGCAUUCUCCCCUAACGCAGCAGCCAUGGUUCUCAAGUACGUAUUCUUCUCAUCUCCAUUUUCUUCCAUCAUUUUCUUUCUUACCAUCUCAUCUCUUCUUUUUCUAACGGUUUCAGCCUCUUCAAUUCAAUAUCUCAUACGUUCAAAAAAAUUAAUCUCGUGAUUUAUGUUUCAACAAUCCUUUUUUUUUUGUUACUGUAGGAUUUAGUUUAUUAAUCGAGAAUUAGUCUUCUGUUACAAUCAGUAUUGAGAAUUUGAUUGAAUGCAAAAUUUUGCCAUCUAGAGUGUAGUAUUCUAUGAUGGUAUUGUAGAUUAAAGAUAGAUAAUAUUUUAUUUUAUGAUUGUAGUUGGCUUCUUGAGUGUGAAAAUUUGUCUAGUAUUCAGUAUUUAGGAUCUGAUAGAUAGUUCUAAAUUGACAUUAUGUGUAACAUUUUCUAGUUCAAAAUAAUUGUGUUUUUUAUUUUUAUUAUUUGGGUUACUUUAAAUGAGUACACGCUUGCAAUUUUGUGAAGCACUCUUUAAAAUUCGACGUGGUUUAGAACUGCUUGUUAAUGCAUUUUCAAAUUUUAAACCAUUUAAGAGAAUGUUAUUCAUUUAAAUUAGUUUUUUAGAAAUAUAUCAAGACAUAAUAUGCUGUGUAACUUGACAGAUUGUUGGAAAUAGUAAACCAUGGACUUGUAGUUUCAAUUCAUUUUGAUUGAAUUAGUCUUGGCGUUCUCAAUAUAUUGCUUCCCUAAGUGUUAUAAUUAGAGAUUGAUAUUGCUAUUUCAGGACUGAACUUUGCCGAUUCAGUGGUGCAAAGAUCUACCCAGGAAGAGGAAUCAGAUUUAUUCGUGGUGAUUCUCAGGUGAUGUAAAAUGUUUUUCUUUGCUUCAAUAUCAGUGUUCUGUUUGCUAUGACAUGUUCAAUCUUAGUUUUACUGAUAUAAGGCUUGUUGUCAAUUUUACAGGUUUUCCUGUUUGUUAACUCAAAAUGCAAAAGGUAUUUCCACAACCGUUUGAAGCCUUCGAAGCUUACCUGGACUGCCAUGUUCAGGAAGCAACAUAAAAAGGUGAUUAUUUAACUUAUAUGUUUGUUAUAAGAUAGCACAAAGAUUAUAUAAUUUAAAACUAAGCUCUUGUACUUGUUAAAAUAAGAAUUCAAGGCAAUGAACCUAUUUACGAUGUGAAGAUGUUUUUGCCUGCUUUUACCAUGUACUAAGUCAUUACACAUGUAAACAGAUAACCUUUAGUAGUUCCUCUAUUGAUUACAUGCAUGUGAUGUGUAGGACGCUGCUCAAGAAGCUGUGAAGAAGAGGCGUCGUGCUACCAAAAAGCCAUACUCUAGGUCCAUUGUUGGUGCUACUUUGGAAGUCAUUCAGAAGAAAAGAACUGAGAAGCCUGAAGUUCGUGAUGCCGCUAGGGAAGCUGCUCUUCGGUUCGUUUCUUGUUUCUGCUUACUGUUUAAGAGCUCAUUUUUAGUGGUUUUCCUGUUUUAUCACACGAUCAUGUCAUUUGUAACAUUAAUCAUAUCAUCCCUUUUUUGGAAUAGUCUUAUUUUUAUUUUGUCUUGUUUUUUCUCUUACAAAUAUAGAUGAUUUAUCUAAUUAAUGGUGACCAUCCUGCAGUGAAAUUAAGGAGAGAAUCAAGAAAACUAAGGAUGAGAAGAAAGCCAAGAAAGCAGAAGUAGCAUCUAAGGCACAAAAAUCUCAAGGCAAAGGAAAUGUUCAGAAGGGUGCUUUGCCCAAAGGUCCUAAAAUGGGUGGCGGCGGUGGGAAACGCUGAGCGUUCCAUUUUUGGUUACAUUUAAAUAUAUUUCUUUUGAAACUUCUGUAUCCGUAUAUUUGAUUUGCUUGAUUAGUCUUUUUUUGUUACGUUUUAUCAAACUUGUUUUUGGAGCUUCCAAGAGAAACCAGUGAUCGAUUUUGCUAGUUAUGUUAUUUUUUGGUGCUAUUGAUCUUACAAUGCUUGUUAUUAUUUGCAUGUUUUAGGAGAUUUUUUACUUAAUGAAUAUCAAGAAUUCUAUCAUUCUUUUUGUCCUAUUUGUCAAUUGUUGGUUUUGGCAUUGUAUCCUUGGGUCGGAUUUGAUAUUGUUUGAUGCAAGCUGAAAGUACAUCAGCAAUAAAUGUGUAAUGAUUUCGAUUUCUUAUGUAUUUUUUCUACAAAUCCUCGACCUCAAGAAAAAUAGUUGUGAGAAAUUUGGAAGUAAGAAAUGAUAAGAAACUGGAUGGAUAAUUUUUAAUAUUCUGUUUUGGCUUAUGUAUCCAGGUAAUGUAUAGAAUGAUAAAAAAAAAUUAUAUAAGUAAUAAAUUAAUUAUUUUUAAGACACUUGCCUUUCCUUGAAAAGCACAAAUACCCCCUUUUGUUUUUCUAAGACCCUAAUUCAGCCUCUCAAUUUGACAGCGUUAAAUUUAUGUUACAGAAGAAAACCGAAAAAUUUCAAUGUCAUUUUUGCAUUUACAUUUUUUUCAUAAACAGAUCGUCUGUCCAACAGGUCUUCGUCAUCAGUUCUCAUUACACGCAAAACUUAUGUUACACAAGAACCCGUCUUCAUAUAAAAUAAAUUGAUGUCUGUAUAAAGAAAUUGAUGUCUUUAGUGGUUUCGGUUUCUUUAGUUUAUGCUCUUUCCUGUUUUUUAGUCCUUUAUGUUUUGAUAAAUUUUGGUUGAAUAUAUUAUAUCUUAUGCAAAGUAAAAGUAGAGAAUUAAACAAAAUGAAAAAUAAAGUGUUAAAGGUGGAAGAGAGGUGUUUAGCCAUUUGAUGAAACAAAUAAGGAAUGUUAGUGUAAAAAUUAGUGGGGAUUGUUUUUGCUUUUUCAAUAAUUAAGGAGAGGUGAAUGUAAAUUUUCCAAACUUUUAUAUUGUUAAAUCGUCUCUUUCCACUUUUUCUUGGGCCUUUCCUUGAAGGGGCUCAUUGCUACUGAUGUGCCCGAUUGAUGUGGGUCACUUUGAAGAAUAUCAUAAAGUAGACGGGUUGAUUAGUAAAUUUUUGAAUCCUCAAAUUCCUAAUUUAUAUUUUAUUAGAUUUAGCAAAUCCCAUGUUUCAUAUCCGACUGGCUGUUGUUGUCGAAAAAGUUACAUUUUCCGACUCCAAAUUAUCACUUCCGUCUCAUCGUGUGUAAAUAAAUAAUAGGUGAUUCGAUCUAAUAGACUCUAAUAUCAUUUAAAUAUUUUGAUUGGACCAUUCACAAUAAUAAAUUUGAUAUUGAGCCUAACUUUAUUAGUCUCUUCAAGUGUAUUGAGGGUUCAGAGGUAUAGGUAGAGCCAGUGAGGUGGCAAGUAGAAAAAUCUUUAACAAAAUUAAAACUCACCCAAUACUUUAUCUAAUUCAAUUAAAAUUUAACUCAAAUUAUAAACUAAUAAGAAUAUAAGUUUUAUAUACAAGAUAAAAAAUUAAACUAUAUAACUUUAGUUCGCCAAUACAUUAUAGAGGUAAAUAUAUAUAUCCUUUUAUUUUUACAUAAGAUUCAAAUUUAGGUCCACUUUUUACACUUAUAUAUUACUAGUAUUAUAUCAAUUUUUAUUUUGGUACUUUUCAGAUCUUAUAAUUUUUUUUUUAAGAAACUGCCUUUACUAUUCUAGAACAAUUAGGCAAUUCAAAGUUAAAGGUGUAGAAGAAAAAAAAAUCAAAGUAUUUGAUGUUACUAUUAAAAAAAUAGGAAAAUUCUAUAUUAUAUUUAACACAUUUCAAUAAAAAAGUUAAUAGAAACUAACAAUCAAAUCCUAUUUUAUUGAUAGUAACAAAACUUAGACGACUCUAAUUAGCUCAAUGACAAUUCAUUUAGAUAAUGACACAAAACUUUAUUAUUAGUAGAUAUCUAUACUUACACAUCCCUAAAUAUAAAAAAGUUUAACUGCAAAAUUUUGUAGGCACUUUAAAUUAAGGGUAUCUUCAAUCAUCAUCAUUUAAUAGUAUCAAAAGGAAAAUUCAGAAUAUAGGUCAUUGAUAUCAAAAUCACAAAAUGGAUAUAGGUCAUCAAAAAACCCAAAUCAAAGUAAUUAUUCUUCAAACCUUUAAAAUUUAAUCAAUCCAAUUUCAAUUCAGACGGAUCGGAAGCCGUCUCAACAACAUCGGAUUGUUCCACCACAUCCAAAGAAUUUAACUCUAGCAUAUUUUGUUCCACAAAUUCAUCCUUCAAAUAAUUAGUCUCAUCAAUUGCUUCAUUGCUUGAAAUUUUAUCAUUCUCAAUCAAAUUAGUCUCAUCAAGUCGAAUAUUUCAAAAACUUAUAAUUUUAUUCAAAUUUUCGAAAUGUAAAUUUUGUUUUAAAAUAAUUAAUUUUUUUUUUUGAAAUUUUCUAUUUCGAAAGUUUCCUAUUUUAUUUCAAAAAUAUCUAAAUUUGUGAAAUUUCAUUUUUCGAAAAUUUCCUAUUUUUAUAUAUAGUAAAAUGAGUAAAAUAGUAUUUUUUAAGUGUAUUGAGAGAGUGUAAGGUAUAGGUGGGGGUGUCAAGUAGAAAACUCUCUUAGAUUUUAUCUUGUAUCCAACUUUUUCUUACAAAAUCGACUUUUAGGGUGACAACUAUUCUCCACUUACAUCAAUUUUGAUCAUUCACUCAUAUUUUUUAACUAAAAAAAUAGUUAUUUGAUAUGUUUUAAAUGACUCGCCAUACAAUCUUAUGAUGUCGAACUAUCUAGAUGUAUUAAUUAUUUAAAUGAUAUUAGUUAAAUUCCAAAAAUAAAUUAUUUUAUAAAUUGAAAUUUUUAAAUGAUUUCUUGCAAUUAUAUAUAUUAUAAAAAUAAAAAUAUAAAAAUAAAAUUACAAUUAAGUUUUUAUGUUACCUCAAAAAAAAAAUCCUACUUUUUUUAAAGAGCUCAUAUAAAAACAACAAAUAAAAUUGGUCACUUCCACUUAAAAGAGUCAAAAAUAUAUAUAUAUUUUUUAAUUUCAUUCAAACCAAGCAUUGCAACGUAACAUUAAAAAACUUCGCUAAAAAUUCAUUACUAUGGGGAAUACUUUGUUUAUAAUAUUAUUUGACUUUUUCGAGUGACAAUAGGUCAGACGAGGUUAGACUUUAAAUCCUGAGUCUGGUUUAUGAUUAAUUUUUUAGGUCUACGACCUAUCAUAUACUUUUUAUCGGUCUUACUUAGUUUUUUUUAAAAGUCUAACCUGACUUGAAAGUCUAUUUAAAAACUUUAUUCACAUUAAAACAUUUAAAUGUUUUACUCAUACCACACGUUACUCUCGAGAUACCAAUAUCAAUGUACAUAUCUAUAUAUUAAAUAAAAAAUAAUUUAAAUUUUUUUUGAAAUAAACAUUCUUUAAACCCUGAAAAAUAAUUUUUAGUUUCAAAGAAUAGAUUUUUUUUUUUUUCUUUUUAUGAAACAAAUACACCAAUUAUUACCUCUCAAACAAAUAUGGAACGACUACUGAAUGAUUGACUAAUUGAACGACUACCGAAUAUGGAACAACUAUCAAAUAUAAAUCGCUACCGAAUAUGGAAUGAUUGUCUAAUUGAUUGAAUUUAAAAUAGAAAAUAAUAUUAUUAAUAUAAUAAUAAAAAAUAACAUUAAUAAAUAGGCUAAAUAUCACAUGUGGUCACUUAACUUAAUUUCAGUUAACGUUUUAAUCAUUUAUCUUUUUUUUUUCUUCCCGAUUUAGUCCUUUAUUCCUAACAAUAUCAAAUAAAGUAUAAAAAUAUGAGUUUAUUUGAAAAUUUGCGUUACGAAUUUGAUGAAAUUUGUAUUAUAUUGAAGAAUAUAAUUAAUUUUAUGAGUUUUGUUUGAAUUUUUUUUUUGAAAUUUUGUAUAAAAAAGUAUAACAUUGUUGAAAU